GGGCUGAUAGAUCAACUCGGUAGAUCGUCUGGUUUGCAUCCAGAAGGCUGGGGGUUCAAAUCCCUCUCAGUCCA
This is a non-coding RNA of Candidatus Aenigmarchaeota archaeon CG1_02_38_14, 74 nucleotides long. Lineage: Archaea; Nanobdellati; Candidatus Aenigmatarchaeota. The record is from Rfam.